UACGGGGGGGGUAAGCGUUGUUCGGAAUUACUGGGCGUAAAGGGCUCGUAGGCGGCCAACUAAGUCAUACGUGAAAUCCCUCAGCUUAACUGGGGAACUGCGUGUGAUACUGGAUGGCUUGGAUUUGGGAGAGGGAUGCGGAAUACCAGGUGUAGCGGUGAAAUGCGUAGAUAUCUGGAGGAACACCGGUGGCGAAGGCGGCUUCCUGGACCUUUGCUGACGCUAAGGCGCGAAAGCGUGGGUAGCGAUCCGG
RNAcentral lists this ribosomal RNA (253 nucleotides) under uncultured bacterium. RNAcentral's name for it is "partial 16S ribosomal RNA". It matches the Rfam family "Bacterial small subunit ribosomal RNA", at positions 524 to 776 of the family's 1533-position model. The record is from RNAcentral.